RNAcentral lists this ribosomal RNA (465 nucleotides) under uncultured bacterium. RNAcentral describes it as "bacterial SSU rRNA". It matches the Rfam family "Bacterial small subunit ribosomal RNA", at positions 29 to 506 of the family's 1533-position model. The record is from RNAcentral.
ACGAACGCUGGCGGCGUGCUUAACACAUGCAAGUCGAGCGAGAAAGGGGGGGGCAACUCCCCUGAGUAGAGCGGCGCACGGGUGAGUAACGCGUUGGUGACCUACCCCAAAGUGUGGGAUAACAGUUCAAAAGAACUGCUAAUACCGCAUGUGGUUAUUGGAUUUAGAAACCGAUAACUAAAGGAGCAAUUCGCUUUGGGAGGGACCUGCGUCCCAUCAGCUAGUUGGUGAGGUAAUGGCUCACCAAGGCUACGACGGGUAGGGGACCUGAGAGGGUGACCCCCCACAAUGGAACUGAAACACGGUCCAUACACCUACGGGUGGCAGCAGUAGGGAAUAUUGCACAAUGGGCGAAAGCCUGAUGCAGCAACGCCGCGUGUGCGAUGAAGGCCUUCGGGUCGUAAAGCACUUUUCUGAGGGAUGAGCAAGGACAGUACCUCAGGAAUAAGUCUCGGCUAACUACGU